CGGAAAAAGCCGGCCUCAGUUCGGAUUGGAGUCUGCAACUCGACUCCAUGAAGCUGGAAUCGCUAGUAAUCGCAGAUCAGAACGCUGCGGUGAAUACGUUCCCGGGCCUUGUACACACCGCCCGUCACAUCACGAAAGUGGACUGCACUAGAAGCCGGUGAGCCAACCGCAAGGGGGCAGCCGUCCAAGGUAUGGUUCAUGAUUGGGGUGAAGUCGUAACAAGGUAGCCGUAGGAGAACCUGCGGCUGGAUCACCUCCUUU
RNAcentral lists this ribosomal RNA (261 nucleotides) under Anaerolineaceae bacterium. RNAcentral's name for it is "partial 16S ribosomal RNA". It matches the Rfam family "Bacterial small subunit ribosomal RNA", at positions 1273 to 1533 of the family's 1533-position model. The record is from RNAcentral. Lineage: Bacteria; Bacillati; Chloroflexota; Anaerolineae; Anaerolineales; Anaerolineaceae.